GCCUGGAUGGCUCAGUGGUCGAGCAUCUGCCUUUGGUGCAGGGUGUGAUCCUGGAUUCCUGGGAUCAAGUCCCACAUCAGGCU
RNAcentral lists this transfer RNA (83 nucleotides) under Canis lupus familiaris (dog). It matches the Rfam family "tRNA". From Rfam's summary of the family: Transfer RNA (tRNA) molecules are approximately 80 nucleotides in length. Their secondary structure includes four short double-helical elements and three loops (D, anti-codon, and T loops). RNAcentral also lists the same sequence under 1 other name. The record is from Rfam by way of RNAcentral. Lineage: Eukaryota; Metazoa; Chordata; Mammalia; Carnivora; Canidae.